CGGUGGUUGCCAUUCUAUGGUUUGCCACUCUAUUCCGAGCUCCACACCUGAACACACUCCUCCUAUUAUUAGAACUGGGCUACAUUUUGAUAGCUGCAGCCCGCUCCACCAGUGGCUCCUGUAGGACGAAUCUACUCCAGGUGCCUGAAGCUAAGGCUGGAAACCUUCGCUCCGUUCCAACGACAUUUCGCCGACAACUACUGCAAUCACGAGUUUUUUUUUUUAUCUUGUAUUUGUGUGAAUUGUACAUUUUUGAGGAAUAUAACUAUGAAAGUGCAAUA
Molecule: long non-coding RNA, 281 nt
Organism: Penaeus monodon (black tiger shrimp)
Lineage: Eukaryota; Metazoa; Arthropoda; Malacostraca; Decapoda; Penaeidae
Exons: 2
Source: RefSeq, a predicted model, not a curated record